Stomoxys calcitrans (stable fly) is the source of this 3873-nucleotide long non-coding RNA. RefSeq lists it as uncharacterized. NCBI's taxonomy places the organism in Eukaryota, Metazoa, Arthropoda, Insecta, Diptera, Muscidae. The transcript is spliced from 2 exons. The record is from RefSeq and is a predicted model, not a curated record.
UUGGCAGAGAGUAUAAAAACUUUACCAAAAUAUCGGAAAUAUAAGGGUAAUGUUAAAACUGCAGAUGGACAGAAGCAAUUGGAUGGCAGGGACUGCGAAUUUGAGUUUUUGGUUAUUGAAUCCAUUAAGCAGAAUAUAAUAUGUGGUAUGGACUUCUGGAGGAAAUUCAAGAUUUUAGAGUCAUUAGAUUUGGAGGUAAAUGAGUUUUCUAGCGAGAAGGUGGGGCCCGAGUAUAUCGAGUUGAUGUAAGAUCAAAAAAUGAAGUUGGAUGCUGUGGUAGGUUCAUUUCCAAAUUCUUAGAAAGAUGGUUUAGGCUGUACUAGUUUAGUAGAACACCAUAGAGAUACUGGGAAUUCGAAACCGAUAAAACAAAGGUAUUACCCGAUAUCACCAGCCAGGGAAAAGAUUUUGUGAGGUGAGAUCGACAGAAUGAUUUCAUUGGGAGUUAUAGAGGAAUGCCCCCAGUCAGCUUGGUCUUCACCCGGUGUUCUCAUAGUAAAACCAGAUAAGAUCCGCUUUUGUGUUGAUAGCAGAAAACUUAAUGAGGUGACAAUUAAGGACUCAAAUUCGAUACCAAAUAUAGAGAGAAUAUUGUCGAGAUUGCCAUCUGUCCAGUUUAUAUCCAAAGUAGAUUUAAAAGAUGCCUUCUUGCAGAUUAAGUUAGACGAAGACUCAAAGCCAAAGACUGCUUUUACUAUUUCAAACCUCCCUCUUUAUCAAUUUACGAGAAUGCCAUUCGGGUUGUGCAAUGCACCCCAAAGUAUGUGCCGCUUAAUGGACCUUGUAAUUCUCUACCACAUGAAGACAAACGUCUUCGUCUAUUUGGACUAUUUGUUGAUUGUGUCAACGACUUUUGACGACCAUUUACGCCACUUGCAAUUAAUUUCAGAGCAACUUAAAAAGGCUGUACUCACAAUUAACAUUAAGAAGAGCUAAAAUAUUUAGGAUAUAUUGUUGGUCACGAAUCGCUUUCAGUGGAUCCUGAGAAAGUUAAGUCUAUUUCGGACUUUCCAGCCCCUAAAUCUGUGCGGGCACUCCGACAAUUUUUGGGCAUGUUCGGAUGGUAUAGACGUUUUAUAGGUGAUUUCGCUACAUGUACCUUUCCCUUGACUGAGCUUCUUUCCAAGAGAAACAAAUUUAUAUGGUCUCACGAUUGUGCAGUGCUUCUGUUUUGGCUCAUCCGGACUUUACUAAGCCCUUUAUUUUCAGUGUGAUGCCAGCAAUGUUGGGUGGACGCGGUUUUGGCUUAGAAGGAUGAUGAGGGAGUGGAGAGGCCGAUAGCGUACAUGUCGCAGAACUUAACAAGAUACAGCGAAAUUAUACCACUACUGAACUUGAGUGCUUAGCUGUCGUAUUAGCCAUAAAGAAAUUUAGGGCUUAUAUCGAGGGUUCUGAAUUUAAAGUUGUGACUGAUCAGGCGAGCCUUAAGUGGCUAAUGAGGCAGACUGACUUAUCUAGCAGAUUGGCAAGAUGGGCCUUGAAGUUGCAGACGUUUCAAUUUUCUAUAGAACACCGUCCUGGUAGAGAAAAUGUUGGUCUAUCUCGGAUGUUCGAGUCCGAAAUUGCAGAGGUGGAUGCAAUGCCGCUAAUAGACCUAGAUUCCGAGGAGUUUCGAAAUGAUGAGUAUCGAAAUUGGCGGAAUGAAUGAAUGGAAGGAAAUUUUAUUAUUAUUAAAUAUCUUCUUUGGGAAUAUAUGAGGAUACCAUUUCUUGGAGAUUAUUGGUACCGACGGGAUUACGUCAGAAUAUUGUGGUGUAGCCGAGACGGUAGAAUUGAUUCGGCGAUAUUUCUAUUGGCCUAAGUUGGUGGCGGAUGUAAAAAGUAUGUGGGAAGCUGUGAUAUAUGCAAGACGUCAGAGGUACCAACAUCGAUCCUAAAACCUCGAGAGGGUCAAAUGGCAGUCACCGAGAGACCGUUUCAAAUGUUAUAUGUUGAUAUAAUAGGACCAUUUCCUAGGACUAGUAGUGGAUGUACCGCCAUAUUAAUAAUCUUGGGUGAUUUCUCCAAAUUUACCUUUUUCAAGCCACUAAGGAAACUGGUGACUAAACCCAUUUUGUCAUAUUUGAAGGAUGAAAUAUUUCCUUGUUACGGUGUACCUGAGGUUCUGAUAUCUGAUAACGGAACUCACUUUAGGAGCAGAUGAUUCAAGAUGCUGGAAAAUGGCAUCAAGCAUCAAUAUACGGCAGUACACAGUCUGCAGUCAAACGCCAGUGAACGUGUUAACCGUUCAAUAAACGCGGCAUUGAGGGCCUUUGUAAGAGAGGAUCAUCGAAAGUGGGACAAAUAUCUACUACGUGUCAUUUGUGCUUUACGAAAUCCAACCCAUCAGACCACCGGACUUAGUCCGUAUCAGAUACUGUUUGGACAGAAUAUGAUUACACACGGCAAAGACUUCGAGAUAUUGAGGAAACUUCAGUUAUUGGAGGAGAAUGACACAAACUUACAGAGAUUGGAUAAGUUUUCGGUUCUGAGGGAGUCAAUUCAGAAGAAAUUGAACGCGUCUUAUAGAAAGAACGAAAAAUUAUAUAAUCGGAAUACAAAAUUGAGGUCGUUUGAUACUGGAAAAAUCGUUUUUCGCCGAAAUUUUAUUCAGAGUUCCAAGAUUAAUCACCGAGGACCGGGUCAGAUUGACAUGGUCCUCGGUUCUGCCUUUGGUAAAGGGGAUUCAGCAUUCAAACACAAAUCUUUACUUAAUUUGGAUGCGAUUUCAUGAAUAUUGGAAUAUAUUCCAAAGAGAAGCAAAACAGCUUCCAAAAAUCGCAUAUUUGGAAUAUAACGUCGGUUUAGUGGAAUUAAUUGCUUGAAAAACCCACAAAUAGCCUUUGCAAUCAAGAAUGGGUUAUUACAUUAUACCAUAGACUGUUUCUUUGCCUCGAUGGGACUCGCUAUUACAAUCUAUUAAGUUCAUAUCCUGUAAUACAAAAUUUACUACCACCCAUAAUACACACAUAUAUCAAAUUUUGAAAACAAGGAAUAACGAAAAGUUAGUUCCCAUAAUUAACUGAUGCACAAAAUUUACAUAUUGAGCUUUGCAUUGGUAAAUCAAUUUCAACAUUUGGAUUUAGAAAUGGGACUCCAUCCCGAAGUUAUCAGGCCUGGCGACGUCGUGGAAUCACAAAAUGGUCAAAAUGAGUACCCAAAAACAAAUGCAUGUUAUGCCAGGAACGCCAUGCCCUCAGAUACUGCCCAAAUUUUAUACAGAUGACGGUGGAAGACAGGAGAGUAGUAGUUCGACAGCACAACUAUUGCCGAAAAGCCACACCUUUGAUGUAUGCCAGUCGACAGAUUCAUGUCCAAAAUGUGGGUUUCGGCAUCACACCAUGCUGCACCUACGAAAUCUUGCCUUCAAAUCCAACAGCUCUACCACCACCACCAAAUCGACCUCAUCAAGACCACAACCCCAAAAGAAACCACCAACCACCACCUAGGCCAACGUCAGCACUCAGCCGCAGCUGUUCAACAACAGCGACAACCCAAAAAGCAUUAUAAGUCUUUGGCCGCCUACAACCCAAGCCAAGACCCCAGCACAAGCCAAAGACAAGACUUCACCAAACGCCAAAGUCACAGACAGCUAAAAAAGGACGCUCAGCACCCCCUCAACCUAAUUACUUGAUUUUAUCAGAGACUAUCAAAUGCUUGGCGACCGUACUUUGUUGCGUAACCGCAAGGCCGGCGCCACGGACAAAUUUGAAUUGUCCCUUAAAAUUAAAAAUAUAUCGUAGAAUAAGUUAUAUGAAUUGGAAAUUGAAGUAUAUUGUAAAUUACUAUGAAUUGUUUGGCGUAUAAGAGAUCUCCUUUUUUGCCAUCCGUACUAAUCUGGAAUAGCUUGUAAGACUAUUGUGAAUUGUUAUUUAUAAGCCUUUUAGCACCACA